RNAcentral lists this ribosomal RNA (519 nucleotides) under uncultured eukaryote. RNAcentral describes it as "SSU rRNA". It matches the Rfam family "Eukaryotic small subunit ribosomal RNA", at positions 1161 to 1693 of the family's 1831-position model. The record is from RNAcentral.
AGGGCACCACCAGGAGUGGAGCCUGCGGCUUAAUUUGACUCAACACGGGAAAACUUACCCGGCCCGGACACUGGAAGGAUUGACAGAUUGAGAGCUCUUUCUUGAUUCAGUGGGUGGUGGUGCAUGGCCGUUCUUAGUUGGUGGAGCGAUUUGUCUGGUUAAUUCCGAUAACGAACGAGACUCUAGCCUACUAAAUAGACCAGAGGCUUCUUAAAACACGUCUCUGGCUGCUUCUUAGAGGGACAGGCGGCGAUUCAGCCGCACGAAACAGAGCAAUAACAGGUCUGUGAUGCCCUUAGAUGUCCGGGGCCGCACGCGCGCUACACUGAAGUGAUCAGCGUGCUUUUUGUACCCUGCUCUGCCAAGAGUGGGUAACCCAAUGAACCUUCUCCGUGAUUGGGAUAGGGGAUUGUAAUUAUUCCCCUUGAACGAGGAAUUCCCAGUAAGCGCGAGUCAUAAGCUCGCGUUGAUUACGUCCCUGCCCUUUGUACACACCGCCCGUCGCUACUACCGAUUGAA